Long non-coding RNA from Drosophila sulfurigaster albostrigata, 613 nucleotides. RefSeq lists it as uncharacterized. Lineage: Eukaryota; Metazoa; Arthropoda; Insecta; Diptera; Drosophilidae. The record is from RefSeq and is a predicted model, not a curated record. The transcript has 2 exons.
AGCAUAUGAAAUUAUCAUUAAAAUUACACAAAUUUAAAGUCUAUACCUCAACUACAAAUAAAGUGAAAGCGGUGCUAGCAAAUGGACAGACGGACAGCAGGAUUUAGUACUAAAAUUUAAUUAAAUCCAAACAGUAUGUAGGUCUUCUUCCCCAAAUGUUCUCUCAUCGAAGUAGGCGAAUAAUUUGGGAGUACAAAAUAAAUAUAAUCAAAGUAGCCUUUGAAUUGAUUUGAGACCUUUAUAAGGAGCAGCUCGACACACAUUUUUCGUUAGUUCAUUUUCAGACUCGCUCCAGUCAACACACAAAUUUUCCAAAUUUUUUGUGUUUUUAUUUAUUUUUUCCUUUUAAAAUAAUUCUGACGAAAUGCACAAACACUGGCUUAUUAUUCCCUUGGAUGUCUGACGAUGGUACCACGGAUUAGCGCUCUUCGUUGAGGUCGUCGUAGAUUCAAGGCUUUCAUUCUUAAGGAGAUCGCAGUUACCGUUGAACACUAAUCUCUCAAUACUUUCAACACUUAAUACCCUGCUGCAUAUACUCUUAUGAUUAUUGAACAUUUCAAGAACACUUUUCUAUACACUUAAAACAAAAAAACAAUUAAAAAUAGACCUCAGU